GUGCCCUUUUAAGGUUGACGCGGUGCCUUAGAGGCUAACACAGAAAGGGUAAAAUAAGUCUCCAUAAAACCCAGGAAGGAGAUUGUAAAACUCCUCUUUGGAUCCUGUCUGGAGUCACAGCU
Molecule: small nucleolar RNA, 122 nt
Filed under: Zalophus californianus (California sea lion)
Lineage: Eukaryota; Metazoa; Chordata; Mammalia; Carnivora; Otariidae
Description: Small nucleolar RNA SNORA26 (ENSZCAG00015008457.1)
Rfam family: Small nucleolar RNA SNORA26
About the family: The snoRNA HBI-6 belong to the H/ACA family of snoRNAs, guiding the pseudouridylation of position U4522 if the 28S rRNA.
Source: RNAcentral